AGAACGAACGCUGGCGGCAGGCCUAACACAUGCAAGUCGAACGGGGUAGCAAUACUCUAGUGGCAGACGGGUGAGUAACACGUGGGAACCUUCCUUUUAGUAUGGAAUAGCCCGGCGAAAGCCGGAUUAAUACCGUAUACGCCCUAUGGGGGAAAGAUUUAUCGCUAAAAGAUGGGCCCGCGUAAGAUUAGCUAGUUGGUGAGGUAAUGGCUCACCAAGGCUACGAUCUUUAGCUGGUCUGAGAGGAUGACCAGCAUCACUGGGACUGAGACACGGCCCAGACUCCUACGGGAGGCAGCAGUGGGGAAUAUUGGACAAUGGGCGCAAGCCUGAUCCAGCCAUGCCGCGUAGAUGAUGAAGGCCUUAGGGUUGUAAAGUCUUUAACGGGAAGAUAAUGACGGUACCGUAGAAUAAGCCCGGCUAACUUCGUGCCAGCAGCCGC
This 442-nucleotide ribosomal RNA is filed under the name uncultured bacterium. RNAcentral's name for it is "SSU rRNA". It matches the Rfam family "Bacterial small subunit ribosomal RNA", at positions 26 to 518 of the family's 1533-position model. The record is from RNAcentral.